This 76-nucleotide transfer RNA is filed under the name Sandaracinus sp. Its description in RNAcentral is "tRNA-Pro". It matches the Rfam family "tRNA". Rfam says of the family: Transfer RNA (tRNA) molecules are approximately 80 nucleotides in length. The record is from RNAcentral. Lineage: Bacteria; Pseudomonadati; Myxococcota; Polyangiales; Sandaracinaceae.
CCGCGUGUAGCCCAGUUGGUAGGGCGCCCCGUUCGGGUCGGGGAGGUCGGCGGUUCGAAUCCGUCCACGCGGACCA